This 547-nucleotide unclassified non-coding RNA is filed under the name Hevea brasiliensis (rubber tree). Lineage: Eukaryota; Viridiplantae; Streptophyta; Magnoliopsida; Malpighiales; Euphorbiaceae. The record is from RNAcentral.
AAAAAAAAAAAAAAAAAAGAGGAUGUCUUUUUGAUUAUUCAACAUUUCAGCACGUCUUUUUCAUGUUGAAAGAGUUAGGGAUAUUUGAAAAUUUUUUAUUCGUUGUAUGCAACAAAAAAGAGCUUGUCACUUUAGCACAAUUAAAAAAGAAUUAAGGCAUUGCUAAUCUCAAGUUAUUCUGAAAUAUCUUGAAAAUAAAAUUUGAAGAACGAGAUUUGGAAGUAGGUUAGGACUUGGAAUUCAUUUCCGACAUUCAUUUGUGAUCAUGAGUUAUUCAAAGUAUGAGAUAGAAUUGGGUUAAAAAAUCUGAUUGUAAAAUGCAUAUAUAAUUGGAAUUACUCUCUUUGUGCCUCCACAGAAGAAAAUGGUUGGGGGGUGGGGGCUUGAGAAUUUUAGUCUUGGCGGGGUGCAACAUUCUUUGCUUAGAAAUGUCAAAUCUCAAAUCUCCUGCACCAUUUUCUAGUUAAUAUUUCAUUUUUAUACCUUUUUAGUGCGUACUCCUUACACUUACUCAUUCUCCUUGUAAUUUUUCCCUUUUGGUUUGCAU